GGAUUAGAUACCCUGGUAGUCCACGCCGUAAACGAUGAUAACUCGAUGUUGGCAAUAUAUCGUCAGCGUCCUAGCGAAAGCGUUAAGUUAUCCACCUGGGGAGUACGAUCGCAAGAUUGAAACUCAAAGGAAUUGACGGGGGCCCGCACAAGCGGAGGAGCAUGUGGUUUAAUUCGAUGAUACGCGAGGAACCUUACCUGGGCUCAAACGUAGAGUGACUGUCUGUGAAAGCAGGCUUCCCUUCGGGGCAGUCUACGAGGUGCUGCAUGGUUGUCGUCAGCUCGUGCCG
RNAcentral lists this ribosomal RNA (289 nucleotides) under uncultured bacterium. RNAcentral's name for it is "partial 16S ribosomal RNA". It matches the Rfam family "Bacterial small subunit ribosomal RNA", at positions 775 to 1067 of the family's 1533-position model. The record is from RNAcentral.